UUAGAAUCUUACAUCAAUGAAAUUCACUAUUUUUGCUAUAAUUGUUUGUUAUAUUUCUUUGAUGGUUAAUAUUCUUAGCUUGAUCUGUGAUGAUUAAUCCAUGAUUGCAUUUGAAGUAUCCCAGUGGCCAUGAGUAAGUUUUAAAAUCUGGUUAUCUUACAUUUUUUAUGCAACUUUUCGAUGAUGCAAAAACGGGGGAACAUGGUUGUGCUUUACACUUUGAACAGUAAUGUUUAUAACCUAAUGUACCUGGUCCUUGAUGAUAAGUAAUAAAACGGAAAACUGUUUCUAACAUUGUGUUGAUGUUGAGUUAAGUUGAAACAGGGCCUAAGCUUAUGAAAAGCACAGAGUUUGUCAUCAUCAAAAAGGAGGAAUUUGAUGGUCCAAGAAAAGGUUAAGUUUUGAAGAUUGACAAAAGAACUCAGGAUGAACCAGGUCCAUCCGGUAGUCCAUCCCUCGGGUUCAUAAAACGGGCAGAUUCAAGCAUGCGAGUUUCACGUGAAGGAGAUAAGCUUAACUUGGUGUAUUUAAUAUCUCCUGUUCGAAAAGGUUGCAUAAUUGAUAAGGAAAAGGAGUCUUUAAUCAAAGAGAACACUAUCCAAGAUAGGGAAGGAGUUAGAAGUUGAAAUCAACUAGAACUCUUCCACCAAGGAAGAGUUGCAUCAGAACUCUUCAUAAAACGGGCAGAUUCAAGCAUGCGAGUUUCACGUGAAGGAGAUAAGCUUAACUUGGUGUAUUUAAUAUUUCCUGAUCGAAAAGGUUGCAUAAUUGAUAAAGAGAAGGAGUCCUUAAUCAAAGAGAACACAAUCCAAGAUAGGGAAGGAGUUAGAAGUUGAAAUCAACUAGAACUCUUCCACCAAGGAAGAGUUAUCAAAGAGAACACUAUCCAAGAUAUGGAAGGAGUUAGAAGUUGAAAUUAACUAGAACUCUUCCACCAAGAAAGAGUUGCAUCAGAACUCUAGUUGUUUCUUCAUUUAAUAACUCUAUAAAUUGCAGAAUGUUCUCACAUUAAAGUGGUUGCACAAAAACGCAGAAGUUAAACGUGAAUUGAGAGCAAAAUAGCAAGGCUUUUUGCAAGCAGUUCGUAUGUAAUUCAAGAGUGCCAACCUGAAUCUACAUGAACCAUAUUGAAGAACAAGUUCUAUAAAGAAUUUUAUGUAUCUUUCUUAUUUCUACUUCAAUUGUACUAGGUGUUUUCAUAUUGUACCUUUCAGCUUUUAUAGAAGCAUUGUAAUAUGUAUGUGAGUAUUCAAGUUAGAGUUAACUUGAAGUUGUCGCAACAAUUAGAGGCUGAUUUCCACAACGGGAUUAGAGGUAAUCCUUAGGUUUACAAAGAGUUUUGUAAAUGAUGUUUUGGC
RNAcentral lists this long non-coding RNA (1358 nucleotides) under Nicotiana benthamiana. RNAcentral describes it as "long non-coding RNA (NBEN_LNC004135)". The record is from RNAcentral. Lineage: Eukaryota; Viridiplantae; Streptophyta; Magnoliopsida; Solanales; Solanaceae.